CGUGGCGGGUGCUUACCAUGCAAGUUGAACGGAGUAUGUUGGAAGGGUAACCGGAAGGCAUAUUUAGUGGCGAACGGGUGAGUAAUGCAUGAGAACGUAUCCUCAAGAGGGGGACAACAUUGGGAAACCGAUGCUAAUACCCCAUAAGCCGGGAGGUAAAAGGAGCAAUCCGCUUGAGGAGCGGUUCAUGUCCUAUCAGCUAGUUGGUGAGGUAACGGCUCACCAAGGCGAAGACGGGUAGCCGGCCUGAGAGGGUGAACGGCCACACUGGAACUGAGAGACGGUCCAGACUCCUACGGGAGGCAGCAGUGGGGAAUAUUGGGCAAUGGGGGAAACCCUGACCCAGCGACGCCGCGUGAGGGAAGAAGGCCUUAGGGUCGUAAACCUCUGUUGUGUGGGAAGAAGAGCGUGACGGUACCACACGAGGAAGUCCCGGCUAACUACGUGCCAGCAGCCGCGGUAAUACGUAGGGGACGAGCGUUGUCCGGAUUUACUGGGCGUAAAGGGCGCGUAGGCGGUUUUGUAAGACAGGCGUGAAAUCCCCGGGCUCAACCUGGGAAUGGCGCUUGUGACUGCAAAGCUGGAGUGCGGCAGAGGGGGAUGGAAUUCCGCGUGUAGCAGUGAAAUGCGUAGAUAUGCGGAGGAACACCGAUGGCGAAGGCAAUCCCCUGGGCCUGCACUGACGCUCAUGCACGAAAGCGUGGGGAGCAAACAGGAUUAGAUACCCUGGUAGUCCACGCCCUAAACGAUGUCAACUGGUUGUUGGGUCUCUUCUGACUCAGUAACGAAGCUAACGCGUGAAGUUGACCGCCUGGGGAGU
RNAcentral lists this ribosomal RNA (820 nucleotides) under uncultured Synergistota bacterium. RNAcentral's name for it is "bacterial SSU rRNA". It matches the Rfam family "Bacterial small subunit ribosomal RNA", at positions 38 to 881 of the family's 1533-position model. Lineage: Bacteria; Thermotogati; Synergistota. The record is from RNAcentral.